AUUUGCUUAAAAAACUAGAGGCUCUAAAGAGCCUGUGUCGCUCACCUUGGUCUAUGUGAAUAUUAAACAAAGGAAGCAGAUGGAUUCAUGACAAAAUUGUGUUUUGGUGAUGGUGAUGUGUUUGUACGUCUUACUUUACUGAACAUUCUUGCUGCUUACAGUUAUCUCUAUCUAUAAUGAACUUGGCCCAGUAGUUUCAGUGGAAAAUGUUAGUAAAAAUUUACAAAUUUUAUAAAAAUUG
This 241-nucleotide long non-coding RNA is filed under the name Mytilus galloprovincialis (Mediterranean mussel). The record is from RNAcentral. Lineage: Eukaryota; Metazoa; Mollusca; Bivalvia; Mytilida; Mytilidae.